CACACACUUCAUCUAUAGAAAGAAGGACACACAUACACCCUUCUAAAGCUGAAGUGUGUGUGUGUGUGUGUGUGUGUGUGUGUGUGUGUGUAUUGAAUCUUUAAAUUGUGUGUCUGUGGUCAGGGUGGAAUCAGAAAUAACACAAAAAGAAGUUCUGUAAUGAUUCCUCACAACACACACACACACACACACACACACACACAUUGUAUUUAUAUCUGUAAAUAACAGUAUUUCAGCUCAGAUAAAACCUCCAAACAAACUAUAACUAGGCAUUAUUUUGUAUCGUGUAUUAGGAGCGUGAGUGUUUUUUGUAAGUAUGGGAUGUUUUGUUCAGGCCUAACAGGAACCCAGAGUCAAAUAUGGAGCCGAUCCGCAUCUUCAGGAGUGAUGUAGGUAGACGUCCUGCUUUACCGCACGGCCGAGACCCUGGAACGAGCGCGCGUUUAGAAAACGCACUCAUCUCGUCCCUGUGUGGAACGCCAUGCCCGGUGUCUCCUCACAUGAUCUGCAGCCAGCAUGACCAAGCGCAUGAACUCCUUGGGGUCGAAGGUGU
Molecule: long non-coding RNA, 553 nt
Organism: Ictalurus furcatus (blue catfish)
Lineage: Eukaryota; Metazoa; Chordata; Actinopteri; Siluriformes; Ictaluridae
Exons: 3
Source: RefSeq, a predicted model, not a curated record